CCCCUAGAUGUUCUGGGCCGCACGCGCGCUACACUGAACAGUUCAACGAGCUUAUAACCUUGGCCGAAAGGUCUGGGUAAUCUCCAAAUUUCGUCGUGAUGGGGAUAGAUUAUUGCAAUUAUUAAUCUUCAACGAGGAAUGCCUAGUAAGCGCAAGUCAUCAGCUUGCGUUGAUUACGUCCCUGCCCUUUGUACACACCGCCCGUCGCUCCUACCGAUUGAAUGGUCCGGUGAAGCGUUCGGACCGUGGCCUUUGGACGGUUCGCCGUCUGUUGGCUGCGGGAAGUUCGUUAAACCUUAUCAUUUAGAGGAAGGAGAAGUCGUAACA
RNAcentral lists this ribosomal RNA (327 nucleotides) under uncultured eukaryote. Its description in RNAcentral is "partial 18S ribosomal RNA". It matches the Rfam family "Eukaryotic small subunit ribosomal RNA", at positions 1470 to 1796 of the family's 1831-position model. The record is from RNAcentral.